Molecule: ribosomal RNA, 292 nt
Filed under: uncultured prokaryote
Description: partial 16S ribosomal RNA
Rfam family: Bacterial small subunit ribosomal RNA
Source: RNAcentral
GUGUCAGCAUCCGCGGUAAUACGGAGGGUGCGAGCGUUUUUCGGGAUUACUGGGCGUAAAGCGCAUGCAGGUGGAGGAAAAAGUCAGAUGUGAAAGCCCGGGCCUCAACCUCGGAUUUGCAUUUGAAACUGGCAGGCUAGAGUACUGUAGAGGGGGGUAGAAUUUCAGGUGUAGCCCUGAAAUGCGUAGAGAUCUGAAGGAAUACCGGUGGCGAAGGCGGCCCCCUGGACAGAUACUGACACUCAGAUGCGAAAGCGUGGGGAGCAAACAGGAUUAGAAACCCCUGUAGUGC